AUGUUCAAAUCUGACCACUCACAUGGCUCUGACCAUGAUAAUUUGCAGCUAUACUUCGCCAUCCCCCAAAAAGAACAUUGGAUCGUGUGCUGCAUCAACCUUCUGUACAAACAGAUCAACAUAUUUGACUCAGGCAGAAAGCUCAAGAAUGACGAGGCAUACGAGAUAUCCAACAAUCUGGUUAGCAAUUUUGUGACACUUGCGGCACAUGCUAAAGCUUUCACAAAGUUGGAUUUCAUGAAGUUCACGUGUUUCAACCCUCCGGAAUGCCCCCAACAGAAAACACACUAUGAUUGUGGAAUAUUCGCAAUGCUCUUCAUGAAGCAAUGGGAUGGGAAGAAAAUGGCAGAAUUUAGCAAGGACACUUAUGACCAUCGCGCGCUUAUCACAGAAGAAAUCCUCACUUCACAACUCAACACUCAAGAUCCAAGCUGGGUACUGAAGAAGAAAUGA
RNAcentral lists this ribosomal RNA (453 nucleotides) under Triticum aestivum (bread wheat). RNAcentral describes it as "partial small subunit ribosomal RNA". Lineage: Eukaryota; Viridiplantae; Streptophyta; Magnoliopsida; Poales; Poaceae. The record is from RNAcentral.